Molecule: ribosomal RNA, 763 nt
Filed under: uncultured Streptococcus sp.
Lineage: Bacteria; Bacillati; Bacillota; Bacilli; Lactobacillales; Streptococcaceae
Description: bacterial SSU rRNA
Rfam family: Bacterial small subunit ribosomal RNA
Source: RNAcentral
GAUGAACGCUGGCGGCGUGCCUAUACAUGCAAGUAGAACGCUGAAGGAGGAGCUUGCUCUUCCGGAUGAGUUGCGAACGGGUGAGUAACGCGUAGGUAACCUGCCUGGUAGCGGGGGAUAACUAUUGGAAACGAUAGCUAAUACCGCAUAAGAGUAGAUGUCGCAUGACAUUUGCUUAAAAGGUGCAAUUGCAUCACUACCAGAUGGACGUGCGUUGUAUUAGCUAGUUGGUGAGGUAACGGCUCACCAAGGCAACGAUACAUAGCCGACCUGAGAGGGUGAUCGGCCACACUGGGACUGAGACACGGCCCAGACUCCUACGGGAGGCAGCAGUAGGGAAUCUUCCACAAUGGACGCAAGUCUGAUGGAGCAACGCCGCGUGAGUGAAGAAGGUUUUCGGAUCGUAAAGCUCUGUUGUAAGAGAAGAACGAGUGUGAGAGUGGAAAGUUCACACUGUGACGGUAUCUUACCAGAAAGGGACGGCUAACUACGUGCCAGCAGCCGCGGUAAUACGUAGGUGGCAAGCGUUAUCCGGAUUUAUUGGGCGUAAAGAGAGUGCAGGCGGUUUUCUAAGUCUGAUGUGAAAGCCUUCGGCUUAACCGGAGAAGUGCAUCGGAAACUGGAUAACUUGAGUGCAGAAGAGGGUAGUGGAACUCCAUGUGUAGCGGUGGAAUGCGUAGAUAUAUGGAAGAACACCAGUGGCGAAGGCGGCUACCUGGUCUGCAACUGACGCUGAGACUCGAAAGUGUGGGUAGCAAACAGG